CGGAUAGUCGUCCAGCGGGGGCGGUGGGUUUUUCGCGAGCCCACGAGCAGGUUCGAAUCCUGACUUUCCGGC
This 72-nucleotide transfer RNA is filed under the name Mycobacterium phage MrMagoo. RNAcentral describes it as "tRNA-Arg". Lineage: Duplodnaviria; Heunggongvirae; Uroviricota; Caudoviricetes; Vilmaviridae. RNAcentral also lists the same sequence under 1 other name. The record is from RNAcentral.